AAUAGAUACCCAGGUAGUCCACGCCGUAAACGAUGAGUGCUAAGUGUUAGAGGGUUUCCGCCCUUUAGUGCUGCAGCAAACGCAUUAAGCACUCCGCCUGGGGAGUACGGUCGCAAGACUGAAACUCAAAGGAAUUGACGGGGGCCCGCACAAGCGGUGGAGCAUGUGGUUUAAUUCGAAGCAACGCGAAGAACCUUACCAGGUCUUGACAUCCCGUGACAACUCUAGAGAUAGGGCUUUCCCCUUCGGGGGACACGGUGACAGGUGGUGCAUGGUUGUCGUCAGCUCGUGUCGUGAGAUGUUGGGUUAAGUCCCGCAACGAGCGCAACCCUUGAUCUUAGUUGCCAGCAUUCAGUUGGGCACUCUAAGGUGACUGCCGGUGACAAACCGGAGGAAGGUGGGGAUGACGUCAAAUCAUCAUGCCCCUUAUGACCUGGGCUACACACGUGCUACAAUGGAUGGUACAAAGGGCAGCGAAACCGCGAGGUUAAGCCAAUCCCAUAAAACCAUUCUCAGUUCGGAUUGCAGG
Molecule: ribosomal RNA, 529 nt
Filed under: uncultured bacterium
Lineage: Bacteria
Description: bacterial SSU rRNA
Rfam family: Bacterial small subunit ribosomal RNA
Source: RNAcentral